CCUACGGGAGGCAGCAGUGGGGAAUAUUGCACAAUGGGGGAAACCCUGAUGCAGCGACGCCGCGUGAGUGAAGAAGUAAUUCGUUAUGUCAAGCUCUAUCAGCAGGGAAGAAAAAGACGGUACCUGAGUAAGAAGCCCCGGCUAACUACGUGCCAGCAGCCGCGGUAAUACGUAGGGGGCAAGAGUUAUCCGGAUUUACUGGGUGUAAAGGUAGCGUAGACGGCUGUGCAAGUCUGGAGUGAAAGGGUGGGGCUCAACCCCAGGAGGGCACUGGAAACUGGACGGCUGGAGUGCAGGAGAGGUAAGUGGAAUUCCUAGUGUAGCGGUGAAAUGCGUAGAUAUUAGGAGGAACCCCAGUGGCGAAGGCGGCUUUCUGGACUGUAACUGACGUUGAGGCUCGAAAGCGUGGGGAGCAAACAGGAUUAGAUACCCCUGUAGUC
Molecule: ribosomal RNA, 440 nt
Filed under: uncultured bacterium
Lineage: Bacteria
Description: partial 16S ribosomal RNA
Rfam family: Bacterial small subunit ribosomal RNA
Source: RNAcentral